RNAcentral lists this RNase P RNA (403 nucleotides) under Pseudonocardia sp. Its description in RNAcentral is "RNase P RNA component class A". It matches the Rfam family "Bacterial RNase P class A". From Rfam's summary of the family: Ribonuclease P (RNase P) is a ubiquitous endoribonuclease, found in archaea, bacteria and eukarya as well as chloroplasts and mitochondria. Its best characterised activity is the generation of mature 5'-ends of tRNAs by cleaving the 5'-leader elements of precursor-tRNAs. Lineage: Bacteria; Bacillati; Actinomycetota; Actinomycetes; Pseudonocardiales; Pseudonocardiaceae. RNAcentral also lists the same sequence under 1 other name. The record is from RNAcentral.
CGAGCUGGCCGGGCGACCGCGUCGACGACCUCAUCGGUCGUCGCCGAGGAAAGUCCGGACUCCGUAGGGCAGGGUGGUUCGCUAACGGCAACCCGGGGUGACCCGCGGGACAGUGCCACAGAGAACAAACCGCCUCCCACGCAAGUGGGCGGUAAGGGUGAAACGGUGGUGUAAGAGACCACCAGCACCCCGGGUGACCGGGGUGGCUCGGUAAACCCCACCCGGAGCAAGGUCAAAAGGCCGGUCGAGAGACCGGCUGCGCAGGCGUUCGAGGGCGGCCCGCCCGAGCCUGCGGGUAGACCGCUCGAGCCCGCCGGUGACGGCGGGCCUAGAUGGAUGGUCGCCGAACGGUGCGUCGUGAGGCGCCCGGGAACAGGAUCCGGCUUACAGGCCAGCUCGUCCG